This 587-nucleotide long non-coding RNA is filed under the name Rattus norvegicus (Norway rat). RNAcentral's name for it is "long non-coding RNA NONRATT000900". The record is from RNAcentral. Lineage: Eukaryota; Metazoa; Chordata; Mammalia; Rodentia; Muridae.
UCAGCCCACCAUUCUGCAGAGCCAGCAGAGGCAGGCAAAGCAGAGACAUCAGAAAGCUCAGGCUCUGCCCCAGCAGUACCAGAAGCCUCUGCUUCUCCCAAACAGCGACGUUCCAUCAUUCGUGACCGGGGACCUAUGUAUGAUGACCCCACCUUGCCUGAAGGUUGGACGCGAAAGCUUAAACAGAGGAAGUCUGGUCGCUCUGCUGGAAAGUAUGAUGUAUAUUUGAUCAAGUAAGUAAGAGCAAGUCUUGUGUCUACAGAACAGGGAAGGCCAGGUGGGUGGGAAGGCUAGGAUGCAAAAGCUUUAUUGCACUGAAAUGGCUUCCCAAAGAGGCUGGACAUCAUGCCUUGGUUAAAAUGCAGAAAUGUGUUGGUGUUGGGUUAAGUCUGGGUACCAACCAACAGAUUGGACCCAGCCCAAUGUUCACCAAGUACCAGGCCUCACCCGUUUGGUUUCAGUAUUGUGGAGAAGCAGGAAGUACAGAGAAGUGUGCUUGAAAGUGGGCAGGUCCUCUGUUUUCAGAUUCAGCUGCAUUGGCUUCUGAGCAAGCUGUAACAUGAUUUCUACUAUGCAUCUGACCUAGG